Molecule: long non-coding RNA, 1603 nt
Organism: Dipodomys spectabilis (banner-tailed kangaroo rat)
Lineage: Eukaryota; Metazoa; Chordata; Mammalia; Rodentia; Heteromyidae
Exons: 3
Source: RefSeq, a predicted model, not a curated record
GAUGACAGUCAUAAGAGUCUGCCUUAUUUCAUGUUGAUAGUUUAUAGAUUGUCUCAACUUUUUUCCUUUUUUUUUUUUAAAGCAAAAUUCUAACUCCCAUUUGUUGGCUUCGGUGUAUUAAGUGACUAGACACGAGUCCUCUGUGACUAGAGUCUGGGUUACCUGCACCUCACUUGAACCUGGCUGCUUUGCUGUUCUCCACGUAGGACUUGAGGUAAUGGAACCAGCAGGGAAGUGGACUGCCCCCCUGGCUUUGGUGGGAGACUUCUGACUGCCACUCUCCUGUCAUGUCGCGCUCGUAGCUCUCCAAAGCCAACACCUUGGGCAAGAGCCCGGCAUUGUUCCUUGUGACACUUCCCAGGAAGGCUGUUAACCACCCAACAACCAGCCAGCAGGCUCUGUGGCUUUUUUUUUAACUUGUUUUUUUAUUAAAUUAGGACCCAACACCAGUUUGUUUACUUCAGCUAGAAUAUUGAUCUGCUCAUAAAGUUGAUAGAUGUUUUGAAUAAUUUAGCCAGGAUGAACCCACAGAAUCCUCCUGAAUCUUUUAACUGCUGAGGGAUGUUCUAUCAUUAGCUUAAUUGGAGAUGCAGUUAGGCCCCUUGAAUGUUUAAACACUUAUAAUAGGUGUUAAUGGACAUUUUAAUUUCUUAUCUCCCCCCUCCCCAAUAGCUUCCUGAAAUGGAUGCCUUCAUGGGAUUAACCAGGCAUGAAAAUGAAGUAUAUUGGAGGAAGUAUGUGUGUGAGAGUGUGCUCAGGAGAGAAGACUGGAGCUUGUAGGAAGAUCAGUUCAAGCUUUCCUUUCACAUUAGCACAAGCCAGUGAUGGUGCAUAGGACAGGGAUGCUAGCCAGCUCUUGGCCAUCUUAGGGGAAAGUUGUUAGUCUGGUAGAUUGGUCAGUGUAACGUUGAGGGAAAGCAGGAGUGGGGAGGGGGGUGAGUUUUAGGAGCUGCAAGGUGACAUUUGUAACUUUUGGACUGUUAGCAUUGGCUCUGUUCUGUGGCCCGCUCAGAGGUUGAGGGAAGCUGUAGUGUGGAAGCUUAGAGCUGUGUGUGUGAAUCUCCUGGGAGAGGUGCUCACUGGCUGGGGUCUCUUAUCCUGAGGUCAGAGCCCCUCUCCCUGGCCUGGCUCCUUGAAGCGACUAGGGUGCCAGCUCCAGAUAUCUGGGACAUUUUUACUAAGUUGUAGCAAGAUUUUCCUAAAAUAUGACCAGAUGUUGGAAAUUGAGGUCAUGAGUAUGCGAUUCUGAAGUUUCUGUAAAACGUCAACGUCAGCAAUUGGACAUGAAGGGAAUUGUAUGGCUAUUUCUUAACACCUACUAGAGGGCUGGAACUUUGUACCCAACCACCCAAUUUAGCACUCCCUCCCAGUGCUUUCUGAUGCCUUAGAAAUAGGAGAAAUGGUUCUGUUCUUGUUGACAAGCUAGUGAAGAACAAGUUCACAAGGUAGUUAAUUCCACCAGACACAUCUGCCUCUCAGGAAAAAGUACUCGCUUGUUCUUUUUGUCCCUGGUUUUCAGUUUGUGAGAUUACUCUAUUUUUUUAAAUAUAAUUUUAUUUCUUUCAACGAAUUUAAAAAUAAAAGAAAAGCCUUUGAACAAUGA